AACUCUAACCGGGAGUUUGCUCUCGCUAGGAGUGGUGUACCGGCGAGUAAUGCGUUCUAACUUGCCGAGUUGUUUGGGAUAACGCAUCGUAUGGUGUGCUAAUACCUCAUACGAAGGGAGGGUGGGGGGGGGGACCUUCGCGCCUCACGCUAUUCGAGCUGCCGACGUCUGAUUAGCUAGUUGGUGAGGUAAAGGCUCACCCAGGCGACCAUCAGUAGCGGGUCUUAGAUGAUGAUCCGCCACACUGGGACUGAGACACGGCCCAGACUCCUACGGGAGGCAGCAGUGGGGAAUUUUGGACAAUGGGCGCAAGCCUGAUCCAGCCAUGCCGCGUGUCUGAAGAAGGCCUUCGCGUUGUAAAGGACUUUUGUCCGGGAGCAAAUGCCUGGUGUUAAUAGCAUCGGGAGCUGAGAGUACCGGAAGAAUAAGCACCGGCUAACU
Molecule: ribosomal RNA, 441 nt
Filed under: uncultured bacterium
Lineage: Bacteria
Description: bacterial SSU rRNA
Rfam family: Bacterial small subunit ribosomal RNA
Source: RNAcentral